RNAcentral lists this ribosomal RNA (186 nucleotides) under uncultured Chlorobium sp. RNAcentral describes it as "partial 16S ribosomal RNA". It matches the Rfam family "Bacterial small subunit ribosomal RNA", at positions 338 to 524 of the family's 1533-position model. Lineage: Bacteria; Pseudomonadati; Chlorobiota; Chlorobiia; Chlorobiales; Chlorobiaceae. The record is from RNAcentral.
CCUACGGGAGGCAGCAGUGAGGAAUAUUGCGCAAUGGGCGAAAGCCUGACGCAGCAACGCCGCGUGGAUGAUGAAGUUCUUCGGAAUGUAAAAUCCUUUUGCAGGGGACGAAUAUGCUGGCUUGCCAGCACUGACGGUACCUUGCGAAUAAGCCACGGCUAACUCUGUGCCAGCAGCCGCGGUAAU